AGCAGCCGCGGUAAUUCCAGCUCCAAUAGCGUAUAUUAAAGUUGUUGCAGUUAAAAAGCUCGUAGUUGAAUUUCGGGAUCAUCAGGUUGGUCGUGCCUCUGGUAUGUACUUACCUCGAUGGUUCCUCCUUCUUGAAGAACCGUAAUGCCAUUAAUUUGGUGUUGCGGGGAAACAGGACUGUUACUUUGAAAAAAUUAGAGUGUUUAAAGCAGGCUCACGCUUGAAUACAUUAGCAUGGAAUAAUGAAAUAGGACGUUGAUCCUAUUUUGUUGGUUUCUAGGAUUGACGUAAUGAUUAAUAGGGAUAGUUGGGGGCAUUAGUAUUCAAUUGUCAGAGGUGAAAUUCUUGGAUUUAU
Molecule: ribosomal RNA, 355 nt
Filed under: uncultured Glomeraceae
Lineage: Eukaryota; Fungi; Glomeromycota; Glomeromycetes; Glomerales; Glomeraceae
Description: SSU rRNA
Rfam family: Eukaryotic small subunit ribosomal RNA
Source: RNAcentral